UCUACGAACUCAUCAAGCAGAAGAAGACGCCAGAGACGUAAAUCAGCCGUAUCAGCGCACGAUGUACACAAGACGAAAUCCGGAGUCAGGAGCGACUAAUCGCCCCGAAAAUGGUACAAACGAACUACAGGUAAUCAAUCUGUCUUCCCAUGUGUUAUCAGAUGACGAUGUGGCAGUACUAGGUAAGGGAUUAAAUUUUUCCCCAUGUGCUAAAUUUGAUAUCUUUUCAGCUGUAAAAGACGUACACCUCUUUGGACGAUCACUCCUUUUUAAGAAAUGGCAUCAUCGGAGUGAUCUUGAUACGAUUUUUGAGACCGUAGAAGAAAUAUACUUACUGCAGUAAGGGCAUUAGAAGACCUUCUGGAGGAACAGGAAACACCCGAGACUGAUUUUGGACCAAAUGUUACAUCAAGCAAUGGAUGAAGGAAUCAUUUCUAAGAAAAUAUAUGAAGCACUAAGGGUGGAAAACCCAGUCAUCCCGACUCUAUAUCUCCUCCCAAAAAUUCACAAGAAUGUAUCCAGACCACCGGGUCGACCCAUAAUUUCUGGACGAGGAAGCUUCACAGAAAAUGUCGACUUCCUCGAUAUCACAUUGAGGUGAGAUUGUGAUGGAUGGAUUCAGACAGAUGUGUUCCGCAAAAGCACUGCAGUGAACAGUUACCUUCAUGCAUCAUCAUCAUCACACCCUACCUCAACGAUAAACUCUAUACCGACAGGUCAGUUUCGACGUAUGAGACGUAUCUGUUCACAGGAGGAGGAUUUUGAAAAGAGAGCAUUGGAAUUAAAAGAUCGUUUCCACAACAGGGGCUACAGUAAUAGAAGCAUUAAAAAGGCAUAUGUGCGAGCAAAAAGUGCAGAUCGACGUCAACUCUUACAACCAAGGAACCGUAGUACAGAUAACAACCAGAUAUAUUCCUCCUACCCCGAGCAUCACAGCUAGAAGAUCCCAGAAUCUUAGGGACUUGCUGGUUCAAAGAGAGUAUCGAGAAGAACCAGCAUGCAAGAAAUUUGGUUCCAAAGGACUGAAAUGGGGAUGCAUACCCUGUGGCUGAUGUAUCACAUGUCCAAACAUAGUACGCACAGACAGCUUUACCGACAGUUGUGGAAAAACUACUUUCAAGAUCACACAGCACAUCACCUGCUCUACCAGAGCAGUCGUAUACUACGCGACAUGUCCAUGUCAGAAGAUUUCUGUCGGACUAACAACCCGCGAACUGAAGAUACCUGUCCAUUUGUUUAUGAUCUAGAGACGGAAUAUUAUGUGUGGAGAUGGCGACUAUCGGCUGAAGAUUUUUUCUACAUAUGCAUGAAGUGACUUUUUUAGCUAAUUAUUUUUUAUUCAUUACUUUUUAUACAAUUUUUCAAGUCUUCCACUUUUAUUUUUACACGAAUAUAUUUUUUACACAAAUAUCAACAUGUUUUUCAGUUCCCUCACUAUUCUUUAUUCAGUAUAAUUCUUUAUUUUUACUAUAUUUAUUUUUACUAGAUUCAGCGUGGUUUUUUAAUUAUACACCAUUUUCAUUUAUUAUGUAUAUGAGAUACAUUAUUUGGGGCACAUACAUUCAUAUCUUGUUUCAAUUUGCUAGUAUAAUUAUGCACCUUAUUUUUCCUUUUUUUUUUACCCCUUUCUCAAUUCAUCUGUUUUUCAUUCAGUUUGCUGUGAUCACAUUUUUCAUUUAUCAUUUUUUUCACAUCACAAAUUUUCCUUUUUUUUUUUCUUCCUUUUCCCUUUUUUUUUCUCCUUUCCCCAUUUUUCCUUCUCUAGCCUCCCUUUUUUUCUUUUUUUUCCCUUUCUCCCUCCUCAUUCCUUUUCACUUUACACGUGCCCACAAAAUUCACAUACCACAGUUGUUUAUGCAUCACGCACAUAUCCACAUAGCAACACUGCUUUACACAUAUUUUUGCACUUUUCUGUUCACAUCCAUAUAUCUAUGAUUACACAUUUUGAACAUUCCUUACACACUCUCACCUUUCAAUGUUUAGUUCCCUCAGUAGCAGAUAUCACACACACAAUAUAUAUGUUUAGUAAAUUUCAUAGAUAGCAUCACCUGUAUGGGUCAUAAGACCCCAUUAGAUGCAAUACAAUAAUAUAAUUUCACAAUUUUUUUCAAUUCUGACAUAUAUUUUUUUAUUAUUUAUAUAUAUAUAUUUUUAUUGCUUGAAUGUUUCAUCAAUUAUCUAUACAUAUCAUUAAUUCAUAAUGUCUCCAUCUACUGUGUCUUACACUUGUCUAUAUCACACUUUUUUGCACAUCCUCACUAUUCUAUUUGUUUCACAAGUUUUGUAUAUGUAUACGUUAUUGUUACCAAUAGAGAGCACUGUACCGUUACUGUUAACAUGUCAUUUUGCAUUAGCCCAAUAGAUGGCGAUGUAUGUUAAGUUCUUGCUAUGUUUUUGUGCGCACGUCAUGGGAUUCCUGGUCAUGUGGCCGCUGUUGCUUGGCGAUGGCAGGUCACAUGUCCUCGCUCCCAUACGUAGCGCUUACCGGAAGCCCUGUUUAUGGACGCAGUGUGUUCUUUUGUCGGCUGGUUACGGGUAUUGCGGUCACGUGAUCCCAACGUCACACGCCGGGGAUCGCGCGUCUGCAUAUCCGGCACCAUUCCGAUGACGAACACACUGCGCCACGCCACUCCCCAGGUAACACAGCUGUUCUGUAUCUGCUAUUACAAUACUAUAGGUGUGAUUGGGCACGGGUUAGUAUAAAUAUGUACCACCAUUAUGAUAAGACCACUCCCGGAAGAAGGACGCAAGUCCGAAACGGACGUAGGGGUGGACGUCUCUCUGUUGCACUUUCUGCUUGCACAUGUAGGUACUUUGCUGCUGUGAUCCUGCGCUUGUACUGUACUUUAGCACUUUAUGUAUAUACAAUGAUGCACUGAAUCUGGAUACAGCACUGUAUUUUUGUUAGGCUGCUAUAUAGAUAUCCAUUACCUUGAGAUGCUAUGUUGGCAUUUUUAGCAGCUUCCAUAUGAGAGAUGUUCC
This is a long non-coding RNA of Hyla sarda, 2982 nucleotides long. RefSeq lists it as uncharacterized. Lineage: Eukaryota; Metazoa; Chordata; Amphibia; Anura; Hylidae. The transcript is spliced from 5 exons. The record is from RefSeq and is a predicted model, not a curated record.